GCAUUGGUGGAUCAGUGGUAGAAUUCUCACCUGCAACGCGGGGCCCAGGGAAGCCCGGGUUCGAUUCCCGGCCAAUGCA
This 79-nucleotide transfer RNA is filed under the name Salmo salar (Atlantic salmon). It matches the Rfam family "tRNA". From Rfam's summary of the family: Transfer RNA (tRNA) molecules are approximately 80 nucleotides in length. Their secondary structure includes four short double-helical elements and three loops (D, anti-codon, and T loops). The record is from Rfam by way of RNAcentral. Lineage: Eukaryota; Metazoa; Chordata; Actinopteri; Salmoniformes; Salmonidae.